Molecule: small nuclear RNA, 190 nt
Filed under: Carlito syrichta (Philippine tarsier)
Lineage: Eukaryota; Metazoa; Chordata; Mammalia; Primates; Tarsiidae
Description: U2 spliceosomal RNA (ENSTSYG00000023542.2)
Rfam family: U2 spliceosomal RNA
About the family: U2 is a small nuclear RNA (snRNA) component of the spliceosome (involved in pre-mRNA splicing). Complementary binding between U2 snRNA (in an area lying towards the 5' end but 3' to hairpin I) and the branchpoint sequence (BPS) of the intron results the bulging out of an unpaired adenosine, on the BPS, which initiates a nucleophilic attack at the intronic 5' splice site, thus starting the first of two transesterification reactions that mediate splicing.
Source: Rfam by way of RNAcentral
AGUGCUUCUCAACCUUUUGGCUGAGAUCAAGUGUAGUAUCUUCUUACCAGUUUAAUAUCUGAUAUGUUCUCUGUUUGAGGACAAUAUAUUAAGCGAAUCUUUGGAACAGGGAGUUGGAGUAGGGGCUUGCUUUGUCCACUCUUGUGUAUUGACCUGAUAUUGCAGUUCUUUCAGGAACGGUGCACCCCCU